GCAAAAUUCCAAAAUUUGUUAAUUCCAAAAUUUGUUUGGCAAGUGGUAUGACUUUGUCUUUACCAUGCUUCGGACCAAAUUACCAGUGUUUGAAAUAAUGUAGAUUUUUUAUUGUUUUUGUAAUUUGCAAAAUAUUCAUACUUUAGUAAGCACUGUAAUAAAUUGCAGUUAAAAAUUUUGCCAACCUUGUCAUAAUAAUAAACAAAGUAGACUCGCAUAUGCACGCCUGAGCCACAGAAUAAAGACACACAAAAGGUCAACUCAGCCAACCACUGCCACGUCAUGAUUCACAGUGAUUCAUCAUCAAAAUGUUGAUGCCAUGGUCCUAGCCAGUGCGCUUAUGCAAGGCGUUCACGCCCUGGACGUCCGCCAUUUUAAAUAUUAUCAAGGGGGUUAUUGUUAAGGGACCGGUCAUUAUUUAUGGAAGGGGGAGGGGAAUUUUUCUUUUCUAAAUUUUCUAAAUUGAAAGCCCCCCUCUCUUAAAAGAGCAGAAAUUUAAUGAUGA
This is a non-coding RNA of Paramuricea clavata, 505 nucleotides long. NCBI's taxonomy places the organism in Eukaryota, Metazoa, Cnidaria, Anthozoa, Malacalcyonacea, Plexauridae. The record is from the annotation of a GenBank genome assembly.